This 372-nucleotide ribosomal RNA is filed under the name uncultured bacterium. Its description in RNAcentral is "bacterial SSU rRNA". It matches the Rfam family "Bacterial small subunit ribosomal RNA", at positions 794 to 1158 of the family's 1533-position model. The record is from RNAcentral.
UCUACGCCGUAAACGAUGCGCACUAGGUCUGAGGCUCUCUGACGAGUCUCGUGCCGAAGCAAAAGUGAUAAGUGCGCCGCCUGGGGAGUACGGCCGCAAGGCUAAAACUCAAAGGAAUUGACGGGGGCUCACACAAGCGGUGGAGCAUGUGGCUUAAUUCGAAGCAACGCGAAGAACCUUACCUGGGUUAGACAUGCACGGAUUAACCCUCCGAAAGGAGGUCUACGCCCUUCGGGGUGGAACGUGCGCAGGUGCUGCAUGGCUGUCGUCAGCUCGUGCUGUGAAGUGUCGGGUUAAGUCCCUUAACGAGCGAAACCCUUGUCGCUAGUUGCCAGCGGGUCAUGCCGGGGACUCUAGCGAGACUGCCGGUGU